Passer domesticus (house sparrow) is the source of this 458-nucleotide long non-coding RNA. RefSeq lists it as uncharacterized. The record is from RefSeq and is a predicted model, not a curated record. The transcript is spliced from 2 exons. Lineage: Eukaryota; Metazoa; Chordata; Aves; Passeriformes; Passeridae.
GAUCUGAAGACAAACAAGAAAAGUCCACUUACACUUCCCAGUCUGGAAAUAACACAUAUUUGGCUUUAAAAGCCCUGGGUUCAUAUGUUCAGGCAUAUUUUAAGCUUUUCUACUGAGCAGGAACAGCUCUUAUGAGAACUGAAACUUUUAGCAACAGAGGAUGUGCCUUUUGGCAACACCAAAUAUAAACAUCCACAGCACGUGCAAGGCUCUGGCUUCCCUUCACCACGCAGAGGAUACAGCAAUGCUGCCUUCUGAAGGCCAACAGGGCAGGAUUCACCAUCUCUCUGGCUCUCCUUUGGGAUUUUGGUAUCACACAUGUCCUGGUCCAUCUCUUCACUGAAACCAUUUUCUAGAAUUUCACUCUUAACUUCCAUAUCGUUCAAUUCAACAUCGAUGUAACAGAUGACAGAAUCCAGAUUUACAUCCAUACUUUUAAGAUGGUCUUCACUCAUGCU